Paramuricea clavata is the source of this 452-nucleotide non-coding RNA. The record is from the annotation of a GenBank genome assembly. NCBI's taxonomy places the organism in Eukaryota, Metazoa, Cnidaria, Anthozoa, Malacalcyonacea, Plexauridae.
UCUGAAGUAGUAUAUUAUUCCUGAUUAUAAAGUAGAAAGUUUUUAUAUUCCUUUUUGAAAGAAUUAAAAGGGAGUGAUUUAAGGAAAACCGGUUAGUCUCCCAUAAUUGAGAAGCAAAAAAAUGAAAAUUUGCCAUAGUUUGUUCUAGCAGCUGGCCGAUAGUAAUUAUCUUGGGAUGCAUACCUUGUAUUAUAAGAAUGCACACUAGAUACAGAUACUAACAGUUCUGAGAAUAGUUCUGGAAUCUCAUUACCUCUGUUCCUUAUUUGACUGACAAAUGUUGCUGUUUUAAAUUUAAUCAAAUUAUCCAGCUUUAAGAUCCCAAGUAAUUUGUAAUAUGGACUCGGAUUUUCACGUCUAUUUGCGAAAAAUAUACACUUAACACACUUGUUAAGUUUUGAUGAUAACUGAUUUAACUUACUUUUGUAAGUAGUUCCCCAACUCAUUAAGCC